AAGAGGGAACCCGGUGGGAAUCCGGGACUGCCCCGCAGCGGUGAGUGGGAACGACCGCCGUCACAUGCACUGGACCCGACCAGGGUCCGGGAAGCGACGGCCAGUAGGUGCCGGACAGCCAUCGGGUGUCCGACGUGCCCAUGAGUCCGAAGACCU
This 156-nucleotide non-coding RNA is filed under the name Saccharothrix sp. Lineage: Bacteria; Bacillati; Actinomycetota; Actinomycetes; Pseudonocardiales; Pseudonocardiaceae. The record is from RNAcentral.